GAUUAAUGCAGUCAAAGCUCUUAGAGCUUCAGGUGGAUAAUUUUUGUCUUAAAAUGUUGCACCGGAAAAUGAACAAGUAAACUGUUUGAAUUUGGUGCUUAGAUGUAUAUGAGGCACAAUUCUUUCUAUGGUGUCUACUCCAAAUUUUUGUGGCAGCUGGGAAUUUUUACAAUCUGGGACCUUUCAGUUGAAAAAAAAAAAAGAAAAAAAAAUCUCAUUUGGG
RNAcentral lists this unclassified non-coding RNA (223 nucleotides) under Hevea brasiliensis (rubber tree). The record is from RNAcentral. Lineage: Eukaryota; Viridiplantae; Streptophyta; Magnoliopsida; Malpighiales; Euphorbiaceae.